This 233-nucleotide unclassified non-coding RNA is filed under the name Glomus sp. RNAcentral's name for it is "partial contains 5.8S ribosomal RNA and internal transcribed spacer 2". The stretch from base 1 to 65 matches the Rfam family "5.8S ribosomal RNA", at positions 84 to 154 of the family's 154-position model. Lineage: Eukaryota; Fungi; Glomeromycota; Glomeromycetes; Glomerales; Glomeraceae. The record is from RNAcentral.
GUGAAUCAUCAAAUCUUUGAACGCAAAUUGCACUUUCUUCGGAGAGUAUGAGUGUUUGAGGGUCAGCCUAAAAAAAAUCGACAUAGUCGUUGUUUCGCGGUGUCAUUCGUCGGAAAUUGGGUCAUGUUAACCCUUUUGGUUUUAAGCGGCUUAAAAUUUUCUUUACGUUUCCACGAAUGUUUCUAAGAUUUACUUAGUCGUUGAUGGUAUCUAUCUUUAUUAGAUGUGGCCGU